CCCCUAAAUCCACCUCUGAUAUCAACCUCUAGAUGUCUUUCAAUUACAUUCAGUUUAGUGUGGGUUGAUGUUUGAUUGUUGUACAUGUUACAAUUACAUUCAGUUUAGUGUGGGUUGAUGUUUGAUUGUUGUACAUGUUACAAUGAGCAAAGCCCAUACCGCAGUCAGCUAUAAAAGGCCCUGAUAAGACAAUGUAAAACAAUUCAAACGAGAAAACUAACAUGUCUGUUUAAGGUUACAUCAUCAAAAUAUGUAGGGUAGGUAGGUAGGUCGGUAUUUUCUUUUUAUUAUUUUGUCCAUUUUAUUUUUUGUGCCAUGAUUUUGAAUUGUGUGGUCCGAGUUGUCCAUGGGGCGAGAGUUCCCCUAUUUAUAAUGAUUGGAUUAUUUCUUACGACGGCAAUAAAAUGGCUUAGGGUGGGUGCUCAAAAUAGGAUCGGUCAGGUACCCAUAAUCAAACAUAUAUUUUUUUGGCCUUACCGAGAGCACCAUUGAAAUAUAUACAAAUCACGGAUCGGAU
This 517-nucleotide long non-coding RNA is filed under the name Mytilus galloprovincialis (Mediterranean mussel). The record is from RNAcentral. Lineage: Eukaryota; Metazoa; Mollusca; Bivalvia; Mytilida; Mytilidae.